Molecule: ribosomal RNA, 461 nt
Filed under: uncultured Pirellula sp.
Lineage: Bacteria; Pseudomonadati; Planctomycetota; Planctomycetia; Pirellulales; Pirellulaceae
Description: bacterial SSU rRNA
Rfam family: Bacterial small subunit ribosomal RNA
Source: RNAcentral
CCUACGGGGGGCUGCAGUCGAGAAUCUUCGGCAAUGAGCGCAAGCUUGACCGAGCGACGCCGCGUGCGGGAUGAAGGCCUUCGGGUUGUAAACCGCUGUCGUAGGGGAGCAAGAGAUGAGGGUACUCCCUCAAAUUUGAGCGAUCCUAGGAGGAAGGACGGGCUAAGUUCGUGCCAGCAGCCGCGGUAAGACGAACCGUCCAAACGUUAUUCGGUAUCACUGGGCUUAAAGAGUUCGUAGGCGGCUCCGUAGGUGAGGUGUGAAAUCCCUCGGCUCAACCGAGGAAUUGCGCUUCAAACCGUGGAGCUAGAGGGAGACAGGGGUAAGCGGAACAGAUGGUGGAGCGGUGAAAUGCGUUGAUAUCAUCUGGAACACCGGUGGCGAAGGCGGCUUACUGGGUCUUUUCUGACGCUGAGGAACGAAAGCUAGGGUAGCGAACGGGAUUAGAUACCCCGGUAGUC